Molecule: ribosomal RNA, 496 nt
Filed under: uncultured bacterium
Lineage: Bacteria
Description: partial 16S ribosomal RNA
Rfam family: Bacterial small subunit ribosomal RNA
Source: RNAcentral
AUGCACGCUGGCGGCGUGCCUAAUACAUGCAGGUCGAGCGAACGGACGAGAAGCUUGCUUCUCUGAUGUUAGCGGCGGACGGGUGAGUAACACGUGGAUAACCUACCUAUAAGACUGGGAUAACUUCGGGAAACCGGAGCUAAUACCGGAUAAUAUUUUGAACCGCAUGGUUCAAAAGUGAAAGACGGUCUUGCUGUCACUUAUAGAUGGAUCCGCGCUGCUUUAGCUAGUUGGUAAGGUAACGGCUUACCAAGGCAACGAUGCAUAGCCGACCUGAGAGGGUGAUCGGCCACACUGGAACUGAGACACGGUCCAGACUCCUACGGGAGGCAGCAGUAGGGAAUCUUCCGCAAUGGGCGAAAGCCUGACGGAGCAACGCCGCGUGAGUGAUGAAGGUCUUCGGAUCGUAAAACUCUGUUAUUAGGGAAGAACAUAUGUGUAAGUAACUGUGCACAUCUUGACGGUACCUAAUCAGAAAGCCACGGCUAACUACGUG